AUAUCAAUCAAUCAGCAUCCGACCCAGAAACGCAGCGCUGGUCAGACACUUCACAUCCUAAACUCUGUUCCUGACCUACCAGAGCGAUGCUGCAGAUACAUCGCUGCAGACAUGCAGAGCAUUACAUAAAUCAAACAUACUGAAAAAGAAUACGCUGUAAGGUGAGAAGUUUAAAAAAUGAGCAUGACUAAGCUAAUCAGAAAUCAGGGUUUAGCCGUAUCCCAAUGAUUUCCCAUCGAUGCUAAACAGGUGACCUUUUAAUGGUAAAGAUGAGCGUAUACGGAGAAACUCGUGGAUCCAUCGUAGUCUUGCAUGACAGUAAAGCGAAGACUUUGCACAUGUUGUGCAUUUCACUGAAUUUAAAACAACCACAUGAUCCACGCGUGACCAGAGGAAACAAUCCCCUCCUCUGCGCUCGCCGCGUUCGGCAUCUAUAGAUCCAUUUUCCUCGCUGAUUGUUCGCGGUUAGCUGCGAUACGUGAUGCUGAACACAGCGUCCUGGGUUCCCACAAAACUUCUGUCAUUUAUAUUUCACUCACUGAUUGAUCAUUAUCACCCUCAACUAUUUUGUCUCCUUUAAUCUUCCUCUAAAUGAGACCUCCUUCACCACUUCUCAUUCCUCCCUUCCUUCCAUUUAUUACCCUUCUCUUAUUUCUUCACUCCUUUCCUCACUGUCUCUUUGGCUCCUAAUAUCCUUCUGCUCCAUCUUUCAUUGUUAACAUCUUCCUGUUUCCUUUUGUGCCUUCUUUCUCCUUCUUAACCUCAUUUCUUCUCCUCAUUCUUACCCUUUUCUUCUUUUUCUGUCUCUUUAAUUUGCCGUGCCAUCCUCUGCAUCGCUCUCUCCUUUCCUUUAUGCAUGUUCCUCCACGUAUAAGCCAUCAUCCAUCCUUUUGCUCCUCGUCAUUGCUUCCUGCCCAUUUCUCUUCUUACUUUCGCCAUUUUAACCCCAACAAUAAUUUGUCAUUUUUGUCUAUCGUUCAUCUUCGUCGUCCCGUCUUCUCGUCUCCUGCGUUCGUUCAUUUAUCUCCCAUUCAUCAUUCAGCCCAUUAACCUUUGCUUAUCAGCUAAUUAGUCUUCUUUCUGACACAAGCUGGGACUGCGUGUGUGCUGAAGGUGACCAUAUCGUCUUGGUACUGAGUCAAAACUUGAAAUAUGUUUUUAAACGUUAUACUGACUGUGCAACGAUGAGCAGCCUAGGGUCAAAGGUCAAACUAAACGUUCGACAUGUUAUACACAGAUUUUUGUAAGAAAAAUCAGAACUGGGUGUGACAUCACAACUGGACCAAUAGCUGACAUCUCUCUCUCUCUAUUAGUGAUUAUUAUUUAUCCCCCUUUCCUGCAGACAAACAGAGAAAUCUUAAUCAUAAAUAUUUACUAAAUGCCAUUAAUUUGGUGAAAAACUGAUGUAACGCAACUGACAUCGGCUCUGACUUCAGUAAAUGUCGUUUUAUUCUGUGCCGAUGUCAGUGGACAAGGCCAAUACCGAUCAAAACACGGGGCUCUAGUCCAGAUUUCCAUCUUCUGUGCGUCAAUGAAUCAGUGUUUACUAUGAAUUCUGCCCCAGCAUCGAUGUUUAAAACAACCAAAGCUAAUGGCGACAUUUUUCCUCCCUUUGAUCGUUAUGUAAAAACUGCAGCCUUUUAGCUUUUUCAGAUCUUUAAACAUUUAUCUCAUGAAAAAUUUAUGUGAUAAAUGUCAGAUUCUGACAUCAGUUUUAUUCUUUAACCAUAUCAGCAAACAUACAAAUAUUCUGCAGAUUUAUUCAUACUGGUAUGUACAACAGUUUCCUCCCAUCGGCAAAAGCAAACUAAACCUGUUUGUAAAAUGUAAACACUGUGAGUUUGGGUUGGAUGCUGAUAUUUUAACUUUGACUGUUGAGUUCUGAUUAUUUUUAAUGUUUAUUUUGGUUUUCUAGUUUUUCC
This is a long non-coding RNA of Astatotilapia calliptera (eastern happy), 1922 nucleotides long. The record is from Ensembl. NCBI's taxonomy places the organism in Eukaryota, Metazoa, Chordata, Actinopteri, Cichliformes, Cichlidae.